RNAcentral lists this ribosomal RNA (480 nucleotides) under Streptococcus infantis. RNAcentral's name for it is "bacterial SSU rRNA". It matches the Rfam family "Bacterial small subunit ribosomal RNA", at positions 28 to 493 of the family's 1533-position model. Lineage: Bacteria; Bacillati; Bacillota; Bacilli; Lactobacillales; Streptococcaceae. The record is from RNAcentral.
GACGAACGCUGGCGGCGUGCCUAAUACAUGCAAGUAGAACGCUGAAGGAGGAGCUUGCUUCUCCGGAUGAGUUGCGAACGGGUGAGUAACGCGUAGGUAACCUGCCUGGUAGCGGGGGAUAACUAUUGGAAACGAUAGCUAAUACCGCAUAACAGUAGAUAUCGCAUGAUAGCUGCUUGAAAGGUGCAAUUGCACCACUACCAGAUGGACCUGCGUUGUAUUAGCUAGUUGGUGAGGUAACGGCUCACCAAGGCGACGAUACAUAGCCGACCUGAGAGGGUGAUCGGCCACACUGGGACUGAGACACGGCCCAGACUCCUACGGGAGGCAGCAGUAGGGAAUCUUCGGCAAUGGACGGAAGUCUGAUCGAGCAACGCCGCGUGAGUGAAGAAGGUUUUCGGAUCGUAAAGCUCUGUUGUAAGAGAAGAACGAGUGUGAGAGUGGAAAGUUCACACUGUGACGGUAUCUACCAGAAAGGAC